AUUGAACGCUGGCGGCAUGCCUUACACAUGCAAGUCGAACGGCAGCAUGAUCUAGCUUGCUAGAUUGAUGGCGAGUGGCGAACGGGUGAGUAAUACAUCGGAACGUGCCCGGUAGUGGGGGAUAACUAGUCGAAAGAUUAGCUAAUACCGCAUACGACCUGAGGGUGAAAGUGGGGGACCGCAAGGCCUCAUGCUAUAGGAGCGGCCGAUGUCUGAUUAGCUAGUUGGUGAGGUAAAGGCUCACCAAGGCGACGAUCAGUAGCUGGUCUGAGAGGACGAUCAGCCACACUGGGACUGAGACACGGCCCAGACUCCUACGGGAGGCAGCAGUGGGGAAUUUUGGACAAUGGGCGAAAGCCUGAUCCAGCAAUGCCGCGUGUGUGAAGAAGGCCUUCGGGUUGUAAAGCACUUUUGUACGGAAAGAAAUGGCUCUGGUUAAUACCUGGGGUCGAUGACGGUACCGUAAGAAUAAGGACCGGCUAACUACGUG
Molecule: ribosomal RNA, 490 nt
Filed under: uncultured bacterium
Lineage: Bacteria
Description: partial 16S ribosomal RNA
Rfam family: Bacterial small subunit ribosomal RNA
Source: RNAcentral